Molecule: long non-coding RNA, 2038 nt
Organism: Delphinapterus leucas (beluga whale)
Lineage: Eukaryota; Metazoa; Chordata; Mammalia; Artiodactyla; Monodontidae
Source: Ensembl
AGCUCCAGGUUCCAGCUCCCAGGCCGAGUGGCUGCUAAAUGCCUCUGGAACAGGACCUAAGAGUCACCCCAGACCCAGGGGGAGGAAGGAGAGUGACCAAAACUCUACAGAGGCAGCACGACCACCAGCCCGUCCCCUGGGUUCCCCUGCACAGAAGACACAUCCUGAACAGACACUGUCCCAGUAUCAGGGAAACCAGCUUCUUUUCAUUUCAUCAACAAAACUGGACACGGAUCAAUUUCAACUGACCUUUGCCGAAAGGUGGCGCUGUUGAGGUAAAAACCAAGUCGGUCCAACAAUAGUUUUCACUCUUCGAUCGUUUUGCAGGCUUUUCAGAAUUUUUUUUUUUUAAUGCACCGUCCUAGCGUCCCCCCCCCCGUCCCAUAAAAUAAGAUAAAUAUGAUUAACACCAAAUGCAUUUCAUUAAUUGGAGGAAUCAACAGUCCAACAUCCAAGAGGGCGGGCUGGUCUUUCAAACGCUGGGUCGGCUUCACGCACUCUUGCUUCCCCCCAAGUCAGUCUCGGCUUUUCCAUCUGGUCUAUCGCUUUAAAAUCUUAGAAACAGAGUUGUUGGUUCUUUUUUCUUUUCUUUCUCUUUCCUUCCUUUUUCUUUUUUGCAUAAGCUUUAGAAGGAUCGGUCUAGAAAACUGAAUAGUCAGUAGCAUCCGCGACCCCGAGGGGGAGAUGCGGCCCCCCACUCCACUCCACCCCACCCCCACUCUAGGUUUCCGGGCCCGUCCGAGAAACCGCCGUUUAAAAUUUAACCCUUCGAGGGGAGCUGGCGAAGGCUGGGUGUUUGUUUUUUUUGUACCCCUUGUUCCACGCCACGAUCAAGUCUGAAAUAAUUAAGUGAAACGUAAAAGUGCAAAGGGCGCGCGGGACCCUGAUAAACAGGAGUCAGAUUUCAUAAGGGUGUGUGUGUGUGUGUGUGUGUGUGUGUGAGUGAGUGAGUGAGCGGGGGGAGAGAAAUGAAUCUCAAAGGCCAAACUCGGGCCGGAGUCGGAAGCCGGAGGGUGAGCCGGACUGACCUGACUCCGAGCUUUCCCGGAGUUAAUUCGCGGAGGAGUUCGCUCCCCCCGCAAGGGCAUGCGACGCCAGCGGGCAUCCAGCCCCCGCGCGGAAUGGCUCCCGAACAACUUAGUUCACCUCCUUUAAAAGAGGGUGAUAAAGCGCGCUUUCUCUUUCCGCCGACUCCAGACCGCCCCGGCAGGCGCGCGGCGGGGCGACGUCCUCCGCGCCGUCUGGACCCCUGCACACCCGCGCGCGGCCACCGGGAAGAGGGACAAAGAGUUUGGGCCAAGUUUGAGCUCCGGGCACUGCCAGGCUCGGGGGAAGGAAGGUCCCCCGGGCGGACACCUGGGUGCCGAAGGUGGAGCAAGGAGAAAAAGCUACCCGCCCGGCUGCACCUCUGUCUUGCACUUGGCACGGAGGGAGGAAGACCGCGAGGUUGAGAGAGAGAGAGAGAGAGAGAGAGAGAGAGAGGAAAGGAAAAAAAAAAAAGCCAGGCAGAAGAGGAGGCGAGAAGCAUGAAGUGUUAACUCCCCUGUGCCAAGGCCCGCGCCGCCCGGACAGCGGCCCGCCGCGCCUCCAGCCCCGAGCGGCCGCCGCGCGCGCCCCGCCUGCAGCCCGGGCCGGCGAGGCGAGCACUCCUUAUGCAAAACGCGCAGCGGAGCGGCGAGCGGAGGACGCCGCGCACCCAGCCGGGCUCUUCUGGCUUCGCCGCCGCCGCCGCCACCGCAGCCCGCAGAGGACCUUCCCGAGCCUGAAGCCGCCGGCUCGGCGCGCUAGGAGGCGAGCAAGCGAGGAGGGGCCGGGGCGAGCGAGCAAGCACAUUGGCGUGAGCAGGGGGGAGGGAGGGCGGGCGCGGGGGGCGCGGGCAGGGCGGGGGGGGGGGGGUGUGCGCGCUCGGAGGUUUCGGGCCAGCCACCGCCGCGCGAGCUAGAAGCGCCCCAGCCCGGCAAGCUGGCUCACCCGCUGGCCACCCAGCACAGCCCGCUGGCCCCUCUCCUGCAGCCCAUCUGGCGGAGCGGCGGCGGCG